CUAUCUGGGUGCUGCCCUGUUCCUGCCGAUCCGCCCUCGCCGCAGCUUCCCUUGCCGAACCAGUGACCCACCAUCACGUUGCUGCUCCAUUUGGGAAUCUUGGGCGCCAUCGACUGCUCUUCAAACCCUCUAAGUGCUGCUUGGUACGUGCUCUCCAGUGGGUUUAAUUUGGUUGCGAUGGGUUAGGGUUUUUUUGGUUCGCGGUUCUGCUGUUUCGAG
RNAcentral lists this long non-coding RNA (219 nucleotides) under Eucalyptus grandis. RNAcentral's name for it is "long non-coding RNA (EGRA_LNC000942)". The record is from RNAcentral. Lineage: Eukaryota; Viridiplantae; Streptophyta; Magnoliopsida; Myrtales; Myrtaceae.